RNAcentral lists this ribosomal RNA (750 nucleotides) under uncultured bacterium. RNAcentral's name for it is "bacterial SSU rRNA". It matches the Rfam family "Bacterial small subunit ribosomal RNA", at positions 28 to 776 of the family's 1533-position model. The record is from RNAcentral.
AUUGAACGCUGGCGGCAGGCUUAACACAUGCAAGUCGAACGAUGAAGACAUAGCUUGCUAUGUUGGAUUAGUGGCGGACGGGUGAGUAACACUUAGGAAUCUACCUUUUAGCGGGGGAUAGCUCGGGGAAACUCGAAUUAAUACCGCAUAAUUUCUACGGAAUAAAGAGGGCUUUUAGCUCUCACUAGAAGAUGAGCCUAAGUAAGAUUAGCUAGUUGGUGGGGUAAAAGCCUACCAAGGCGACGAUCUUUAGCUGGUCUGAGAGGAUGAUCAGCCACACUGGGACUGAGACACGGCCCAGACUCCUACGGGAGGCAGCAGUGGGGAAUAUUGGACAAUGGGGGCAACCCUGAUCCAGCCGUGCCGCGUGUGUGAAGAAGGCCUUUUGGUUGUAAAGCACUUUAAGCAGUGAAGAAGAUCUAUUGGCUAAUACCCAAUAGCGAUGACAUUAACCGCAGAAUAAGCACCGGCUAACUCUGUGCCAGCAGCCGCGGUAAUACAGAGGGUGCAAGCGUUGAUCGGAAUUACUGGGCGUAAAGCGAGCGUAGGUGGUUAAAUAAGUCAGAUGUGAAAGCCCUGGGCUCAACCUAGGAACGGCAUCUGAAACUAUUUAACUAGAGUAGGUGAGAGGGAAGUAGAAUUUCAGGUGUAGCGGUGAAAUGCGUAGAGAUCUGAAGGAAUACCGAUGGCGAAGGCAGCUUCCUGGCAUCAUACUGACACUGAGGCUCGAAAGCGUGGGUAGCAAACAGG